GACGAACGCUGGCGGCGUGCUUAACACAUGCAAGUCGAACGGAAAGGCCCUGCUUGCAGGGUACUCGAGUGGCGAACGGGUGAGUAACACGUGGGUGAUCUGCCCUGCACUUCGGGAUAAGCUUGGGAAACUGGGUCUAAUACCGGAUAGGAGCCAUCUUUAGUGUGGUGGUUGGAAAGUUUUUUCGGUGUAGGAUGAGCUCGCGGCCUAUCAGCUUGUUGGUGGGGUAAUGGCCUACCAAGGCGGCGACGGGUAGCCGGCCUGAGAGGGUGUACGGCCACAUUGGGACUGGGAUACGGCCCAGACUCCUACGGGAGGCAGCAGUGGGGAAUAUUGCACAAUGGGCGCAAGCCUGAUGCAGCGACGCCGCGUGGGGAUGAAGGCCUUCGGGUUGUAAACUCCUUUCGCUAGGGACGAAGCUUUUUGUGACGGUACCUAGAUAAGAAGCACCGGCUAACUACGUG
Molecule: ribosomal RNA, 464 nt
Filed under: uncultured bacterium
Lineage: Bacteria
Description: partial 16S ribosomal RNA
Rfam family: Bacterial small subunit ribosomal RNA
Source: RNAcentral